AAAUGUUCAAAAAACGUGUGGAUGUGGCACUUGGGGACAUGGGUUAGUGGUGACCAUGGUGCUGGUGCUGGGUUAACUGUUGGACUCUGACCCAAAAGGGCUUUUCCAACCUGACCAGUUCUGUGAUUCAGAGACGCUCAGAAAACAGACCCUCUCUUCUCGCUUAACACUUAAUUCAGUUUCUGAUUUAAGUCCUUCACCGAGAGAGGGACGUGCUGAGGAGCCUGUGCCGUGCUGGGUGUGCUGGUCAGGACGAGGAAUUUUGGGGGCACAGGGAGCAGCCGGGCAGGACAGGGGUUACUUCACCCCGUACCCCACGAUGUGCGGCUCGAUGGGCGUCCAGGGCAGUGCAAGACUUAUGUGUUGUACCUUCAGCUCCGAGAACUUGGCCUCUUCCAGACUCUUCCAGAGCUCUCUCGUGAGGCAGCAUCCAGCAAAGACGAGUUUCCAAGUCGGGAAGCAGACCUGCUGCCAAAAAUACUUCCAGCUGGAAUGCUCGGCGGCCACGUGCUCCAAGAAGUAGAAAGCUCCUCCCUGGGAACACAGAGUCUCUUACAGUGGAGCAGCCCCACUUCAGAGAGGCCGAAGCAGUUCAUUUAAAAUCCAGACUUUCAGCCCUGAUCAGAACUUCCCACCCAAGGAAAGUCGUGUGAGUGGGAAGGGACAGCACCACAUUCUGCUUUAAAUGAUGGACUGUGAAGCAAUUUCAGUUAGCAGUGUGUUGCUUUUAGGAUUUUACUCUUAAGACUAAACCAGUCUGACCAGUAUCACGUGCAGAAUGGCUGCAGGAACCAACCCGGGUCUGGUUUUUAAGCUCAAAACCAAUUCUUUAUACUAUUUUCCCCCCUUUCCUCGUGGCAAGGUGCCUCUGGAGCGGCUGAUAAAGGUUUAAUGCAGGUACUCACCGGCCGGAGCACCCGCAGCACUUCCCUCAGGGUGCCGCUCACGCUCUGAACCGAGCACAGCACCAGGGUACAGACCACGGCGUCCACGGAGCCGCUGGGCACCUGGUGCAGGUCCUCCCCUGCGGCCACCAGGAAACGCUCGUAGUGCAGGUGCUGGUUCUUCUUCAUGUUCUUGGCGAGGCUCUCCUGGAAGCUGGGGUUGAUGUCGGUGCAGGUGACCCUGCAGCCCGAGGGGUAGAACUGGAAGUUGGAGCCGGCGCCGGUGCCGAUCUCCAGCAGCCGCAGCUCCCCCGAGGGGCUCCGGAAGUCGGGGAGGUUCCGGAACAGCUCCAGUUUGUGCUUCUUUGAUUUCUUGUCGUGAACUGCGGCGAUCUUGUCUAAGAUGAAAGGGAAAAACACCUUCCUGCAGAAGGGCUCCCACACGCCCAGGAAGGAGAGCAGGUAGACGGGGAAGGCGAGCAGCACCAGGCAGGUGCGGAGGAGGAGGACGCUGGCACCGGCCUCUGCCAUUCCCAGCGUGGGCAGAGGAUCUGCACGGGGCAGAACAACUUCUGCUGUGUGUUAGAGCCCUGGGAGCUCAGACAGAGCUGCCUUCGGGUGCUCCCUGUGCUCCCGUCCGAGUACGUUCAGCUCCUUGGACUGUCCUGGUGGACUCUUUUCUCCAGCUGAUUUCCAAGUCCGGUCACGGGCAAGCGGUGACCAGAGUGUCCCGACUGGCAGGGGAGGAGCUGCCGGUUUGUUCCCAAACCGGGACAAACUGGGCAGCACAACUGUGUGUGUAACCCCUGGCAAAGUGUCUCCGAGUGCCCUCUCUUGGCGCUCGGCAGCUCCAGCACGGUCACGUCUCUUAAAGCCGCCUGUGCUGCCCUGGGGGAGCUGAAGGGAGCUCAGCCCGGCUCUGGAGCUCCGUAAGAAUUUCAUUAGGGGGUUGAUUAAAGUCUCAGUUCAAACA
This is a long non-coding RNA of Pipra filicauda (Wire-tailed manakin), 1857 nucleotides long. RefSeq lists it as uncharacterized. Lineage: Eukaryota; Metazoa; Chordata; Aves; Passeriformes; Pipridae. The transcript is spliced from 2 exons. The record is from RefSeq and is a predicted model, not a curated record.